CGAAUGGAGCAAUCCUAGUAGAGCGGCGCACGGGUGCGUAACACGUGGGUAAUCUGCCUAGAAGCUCGGGAUAACCAGUCGAAAGAUUGGCUAAUACCGGAUAAGCUCACAGGGACUUCGGUCCUCGUGGGAAAAGGUGGCCUCUGUAUACAAGCUAUCACUUCUAGAUGAGCCCGCGGCCCAUCAGCUAGUUGGCGGGGUAAUGGCCCACCAAGGCAACGACGGGUAGCUGGUCUGAGAGGACGAUCAGCCACACUGGAACUGAGACACGGUCCAGACUCCUACGGGAGGCAGCAGUGGGGAAUUUUGCGCAAUGGGCGAAAGCCUGACGCAGCAACGCCGCGUGUGUGAUGAAGGUCUUCGGAUUGUAAAGCACUUUCGACCGGGACGAAAACCCCCCACCCAACACGUGGGGGCUUGACGGUACCGGGAGAAGAAGCACCGGCUAACUCUGUGCCAGCAGCCGCGGUAAUACAGAGGGUGCAAGCGUUGUUCGGAAUUAUUGGGCGUAAAGCGCGUGUAGGCGGCUUUGCAAGUCGGGUGUGAAAGCCCUCAGCUCAACUGAGGAAGUGCGCCCGAAACUGCAGAGCUUGAGUGCCGGAGAGGGUGGCGGAAUUCCCCAAGUAGAGGUGAAAUUCGUAGAUAUGGGGAGGAACACCGGUGGCGAAGGCGGCCACCUGGACGGUAACUGACGCUGAGACGCGAAAGCGUGGGGA
Molecule: ribosomal RNA, 716 nt
Filed under: Allostigmatella sp. 42-mts-6
Lineage: Bacteria; Pseudomonadati; Myxococcota; Myxococcia; Myxococcales; Archangiaceae
Description: bacterial SSU rRNA
Rfam family: Bacterial small subunit ribosomal RNA
Source: RNAcentral